Molecule: long non-coding RNA, 1203 nt
Organism: Triticum dicoccoides
Lineage: Eukaryota; Viridiplantae; Streptophyta; Magnoliopsida; Poales; Poaceae
Exons: 5
Source: RefSeq, a predicted model, not a curated record
UUGCCUCGUUGGUCCACUUGUCUGCUGGGAUUAGGCUAAGUAAGAGCCCACAUACAUCGCCCCCUCCGCUCCCUUUCUUUCGCGUACACGCAAGCGGUCCCGUCUCUCUCACACCACCUAUCGGCCGCCGUCGUCGCCUCUCCCAUCCGCCGUGCCCUAGGCCCCUUCUCUCUCGUCGAUCUGCGGCGGGUUCGGGGACACGCAAGGACGGAGAGGAUCCCGAUGGUGGUUGGGUGCCGUUGACCUCGUGCAUGGAGGCGAGGCAGAGGGUAGCGGCGGCGCCGCCGAUCACCGCGACGACAGGCGGCAGUUUGAGGGGCGGGGAGGUCGGGGAUGGAUGGAUCCGGCAGCCCCUGUACGGAUUCGAGGCGGUGGGCGCUCGGGGUCGCCGGCCGGAGCGGAUCGACGGCGGACGCGGCCAUGGUUUCCCGGCGGAACUCCAGCGUGAGCAGAAAGGCGGCGCGGGCGGGCGACGACUUCCGGCUAGGGAGAGGAGGUCGCAGGACGGCACGCUCAGCUCCGGCGGCAAGGCAUGGUUGCGGGCUAGGAUGAUGAGACCGUGGGUCGUGAAUGUGGAUGGGUGGUUUUGAAUCGUUGACACAUGGUUUGCUUGAGACAAGCGAAGCUGCUGAGGUGAUUUGUACACCUAAACUGCUUCAGGUUAAUGUCAAGGGCUUGAAAGGUGUGAGGGAAGUAAAGAUGGAUCUAUACAUAGGGUGUAUGAUCUAGUGCAUAUUAGAUAAUCAAAGUUGAUGCAUAUGUUACAGGUAUAGAGUUGUGCACCAAUCUAGUUGAUGUUCACAUAAUCCCCAAGCUGAUUUAUCGAUUAGAAGAGUCAUGUAUUAUUGUAGCUUUCUCUCUACAUCAAGUACACAUAAAUAUAAUGCCGAAGAAUGUAGUUUCUUUCAUUGUUCUGCAGAUCUUCCCCGCGAGGUGCUACAAAUCAGAUGGGCGCUGUCGUGAAGGCCGCGAAGGUGUGGCCGGUGGCACAGGUUAGCCUGUGGGUGGCACCAUCGUGCUGCUCUAGACGUGCAUUGUGGUGCUGCUCGUGGCGGCUUUCGGAGGGAGACAGAGUGUAGAACAUAGAGAGUUUGGGAGCUACUCGGGUUUGGAUCAGCAAGCCAUGUCUGUUUGGUUUGGCAAAGGAAGAUUUUAGCAGCAUUGCUACACCUCUCAAUGAGAUUACAAAGAAGGAUGUGCCUU